This 331-nucleotide long non-coding RNA is filed under the name Bemisia tabaci. RNAcentral's name for it is "lncRNA ENSSSA1NGG011136". Lineage: Eukaryota; Metazoa; Arthropoda; Insecta; Hemiptera; Aleyrodidae. The record is from RNAcentral.
UGAACUCAGUUUAAAAGUGGAUGUUUGAAAGAAAGUCUAUGGACCUCAUUGUUGGUUUUUGCAAGCGUGGGAACAAUUCUGUGAAAGGCGUUCCUUGUAGAUAGAUGGUAUACAUCGCAUUGGGCGGAGUGCCUACUUCUCACAUCCUUACGUUGCCUCACUACCUCAACUUCUCUUUGAGGUAAGAAUUCCCUAAUUUGCUAUGAAGAUGAUUUUUGAAUGAGUCAGAGCUAGAGGGCUUAUUUACUAUGCAAAAAUGGUGAGUUGCAUCGCAACGUUGCAAAGUUUCCUUGACAGCACCAGGGUUGCCACAGUCAGGGAAAUGUCAGGG